This 519-nucleotide ribosomal RNA is filed under the name uncultured fungus. RNAcentral describes it as "bacterial SSU rRNA". It matches the Rfam family "Eukaryotic small subunit ribosomal RNA", at positions 318 to 821 of the family's 1831-position model. The record is from RNAcentral. Lineage: Eukaryota; Fungi.
AUUUCGAGUUGGUAGAGUAAGUAGGUCUAACAAUGGGUUUCAACGGGUAACGGGGAAUUAGGGUUCUAUUCCGGAGAGGGAGCCUGAGAAACGGGUAACACAUUCCAAGGAAGGCAGCAGGCGCGCAAAUUAACCAAUCCCGACACGGGGAGGUAGUGACAAUAAAUACUGAUACAGGGUUCUUUUGGAGUCUUGUAAUUUGGAAUGAGUACAAUUUAAAUCCUCUUAACGAGGGAACAAUUGGGAGGGCAAGUCUGGUGCCAGCAGCCGCGGUAAUUCCAGCUCCAAUAGCGUAUAUUAAAGUUGUUGCAGUUAAAAAGCUCGUAGUUGAACUUCGAACCUGGUUCGGAGUGGUCUCGCCUUACACGGUGACGUACUGCUCGAGUCGGGUUCUACCUCUUGGUGAGCCGGCGAUGCCCUUCAUCUGGGUGUCGUCGGGGAACCAGGACUUUUACCUUGAGAAAAUUAGAGUGUUCAAAGCAGGCCUUUUGGCCGAAUACAUUAGCAUGGGGUAAUAAA